Long non-coding RNA from Theobroma umbraticum, 647 nucleotides. RefSeq lists it as uncharacterized. NCBI's taxonomy places the organism in Eukaryota, Viridiplantae, Streptophyta, Magnoliopsida, Malvales, Malvaceae. The record is from RefSeq and is a predicted model, not a curated record.
GGCCAAGAUUUGCAUCAAUAAAACGGUUUUCUUGAUCAAAUGCUCGGAUUGUUGCUGCACCAGCUAGUGAUUCUGCAAAGUGGUGGAGGAUAGGAGCUCUUUGUAUUCCUGCUAAGCGGGCCAGUUCUCUUGCUGUUGAUUGCAGUUACUGGAAUGAAGAUGACAAACACUUCCCAUGCUACCUGCGACAUCACUGCUAUGGUCCCCAGAAUCUGUAUUAUUGAAAAAGCACACCAACCUAAUUUGGUUGCCAUUUCCAAGUCUAUUACACUUUGAUCAGUAGAUGCCUGGCAAUAAAACAACUUAAAGACCGCCAUCUUAUUGUAUCUGGUACCUUUAGGCAUUUCUCCUCUCAGAGAUCUGAUCAUUUAUGAAUUAAAAGUUAGACUUAUCGCUUUUGGAGAUUAGAGUCAUUCGAUAUAACACCAUCUUUGUAGAAGUUUCUUCUCCCAUAUGCUGUGGUCCAUGAGGUGUUGGGAAUUGGAUUGAACAUAAUGGCUAGGAAUUGCUUCACCCCUAAUGAGCUAUUCGGAUGAAGGAGGGAAUGAAAGAGAACUUGCAUUUUGCAUCAAGAACUAUGAUGAAUUGGGUAAUGAUCUAUCAGGUGUCUGUUACCUAUAUACUUCUGUAAUUGAGAUCAGAGAAAA